This 520-nucleotide ribosomal RNA is filed under the name uncultured bacterium. RNAcentral's name for it is "bacterial SSU rRNA". It matches the Rfam family "Archaeal small subunit ribosomal RNA", at positions 345 to 866 of the family's 1478-position model. The record is from RNAcentral.
AACCUCCGCAAUGUGAGAAAUCGCGACGGGGGGAUCCCAAGUGCCAUUCUUAACGGGAUGGCUUUUCAUUAGUGUAAAGAGCUUUUGGAAUAAGAGCUGGGCAAGACCGGUGCCAGCCGCCGCGGUAACACCGGCAGCUCUAGUGGUAACAAUUUUUAUUGGGCCUAAAGCGUCCGUAGCCGGUUUAAUAAGUCUCUGGUGAAAUCCUGUAGCUUAACUGUGGGAAUUGCUGGAGAUACUAUUAGACUUGAGACCGGGAGAGGUUAGAGGUACUCCCAGGGUAGAGGUGAAAUUCUGUAAUCCUGGAAGGACCGCCUGUUGCGAAGGCGUCUAGCUGGAACGGUUCUGACGGUGAGGGACGAAAGUUAGGGGCGCGAACCGGAUUAGAUACCCGGGUAGUCCUAACUGUAAACGAUGCGGACUUGGUGUUGGGGUGGCUUUGAGCUGCUCCAGUGCCGAAGGGAAGCUGUUAAGUCCGCCGCCUGGGAAGUACGGUCGCAAGACUGAAACUUAAGGAAUU